AGAGUUUGAUCCUGGCUCAGAUUGAACGCUGGCGGCAUGCUUAACACAUGCAAGUCGAACGGAAACGACGAGAGCUUGCUCUUGGGCGUCGAGUGGCGGACGGGUGAGUAACGCGUGGGAAUCUACCCAGUAGUGGAGGAUAGCCAGGAGAAAUCCUGAUUAAUACUGCAUACGAUCUACGGAUGAAAGGUGGCCUCUACUUGUAAGCUAUCGCUAUUGGAUGAGCCCGCGUUAGAUUAGCUAGUUGGUGGGGUAAGAGCCUACCAAGGCGACGAUCUAUAGCUGGUCUGAGAGGAUGAUCAGCCACAUCGGGACUGAGACACGGCCCGGACUCCUACGGGAGGCAGCAGUGGGGAAUAUUGGACAAUGGGCGCAAGCCUGAUCCAGCAAUGCCGCGUGUGUGAAGAAGGCCUUAGGGUUGUAAAGCACUUUCAAUUGUGAAGAAGGGGUUAAGGUUAAUACCCUUGACUCUUGACGUUAACUUUAGAAGAAGCACCGGCUAACUCUGUGCCAGCAGCCGCGGUAAUACAGAGGGUGCAAGCGUUAAUCGGAAUUACUGGGCGUAAAGCGCGCGUAGGCGGUUAGAUAAGUCAGAUGUGAAAUCCCCGGGCUCAACCUGGGAACUGCACCUGAUACUGUUUGACUAGAGUUUGGGAGAGGGAAGUAGAAUUUCAGGUGUAGCGGUGAAAUGCAUAGAGAUCUGAAGGAAUACCAGUGGCGAAGGCGACUUCCUGGCCUAAAACUGACGCUGAGGUGCGAAAGCGUGGGUAGCAAACGGGAUUAGAUACCCCGGUAGUCCACGCCGUAAACGAUGUCAACUAGUCGUUGGUCUCCUUGAGGGAUCAGUGACGCAGCUAACGCAUUAAGUUGACCGCCUGGGGAGUACGGUCGCAAGACUAAAACUCAAAGGAAUUGACGGGGGCCCGCACAAGCGGUGGAGCAUGUGGUUUAAUUCGAUGCAACGCGAAGAACCUUACCAUCCCUUGACAUCCGGAGAAUUUGCAAGAGAUUGCUUAGUGCCUUCGGGAACUCCGUGACAGGUGCUGCACGGCUGUCGUCAGCUCGUGUCGUGAGAUGUUGGGUUAAGUCCCGCAGCAAGCGCAACUCCUAUCCUUGGUUGCUAACAGGUUAAGCUGAGAACUCCAGGGAGACUGCCGGUGACAAGCCGGAGGAAGGUGGGGACGACGUCAAGUCAUCAUGGCCCUUAUGGGAUGGGCUACACACGUGCUACAAUGGCCAGUACAGAGGGUCGCGAACUCGCGAGAGUAAGCUAAUCCCAGAAAGCUGGUCGUAGUCCGGAUUGGAGUCUGCAACUCGACUCCAUGAAGUUGGAAUCGCUAGUAAUCGUGGAUCAGAAUGCCACGGUGAAUACGUUCCCGGGCCUUGUACACACCGCCCGUCACACCAUGGGAGUGGGCUGCAAAAGAAGUGGGUAGACUAACCUUCGGGAUGUCGCUCACCACUUUGUGGUUCAUGACUGGGGUGAAGUCGAACAAGGUA
RNAcentral lists this ribosomal RNA (1500 nucleotides) under metagenome. RNAcentral's name for it is "bacterial SSU rRNA". It matches the Rfam family "Bacterial small subunit ribosomal RNA". The record is from RNAcentral.